RNAcentral lists this transfer RNA (71 nucleotides) under Cylindrospermum sp. FACHB-282. Its description in RNAcentral is "tRNA-OTHER". The record is from RNAcentral. Lineage: Bacteria; Bacillati; Cyanobacteriota; Cyanophyceae; Nostocales; Nostocaceae.
GCCCUAGUCAUCUAGCCGAAGGAUGCCCUCCCAAUUGGCGGGUCACGUUGGUUCAAAUCCACCCUGGGGCA